RNAcentral lists this ribosomal RNA (1475 nucleotides) under Limosilactobacillus reuteri. Its description in RNAcentral is "Lactobacillus reuteri 16S ribosomal RNA". It matches the Rfam family "Bacterial small subunit ribosomal RNA". Lineage: Bacteria; Bacillati; Bacillota; Bacilli; Lactobacillales; Lactobacillaceae. The record is from RNAcentral.
CAUGCAAGUCGUACGCACUGGCCCAACUGAUUGAUGGUGCUUGCACCUGAUUGACGAUGGAUCACCAGUGAGUGGCGGACGGGUGAGUAACACGUAGGUAACCUGCCCCGGAGCGGGGGAUAACAUUUGGAAACAGAUGCUAAUACCGCAUAACAACAAAAGCCACAUGGCUUUUGUUUGAAAGAUGGCUUUGGCUAUCACUCUGGGAUGGACCUGCGGUGCAUUAGCUAGUUGGUAAGGUAACGGCUUACCAAGGCGAUGAUGCAUAGCCGAGUUGAGAGACUGAUCGGCCACAAUGGAACUGAGACACGGUCCAUACUCCUACGGGAGGCAGCAGUAGGGAAUCUUCCACAAUGGGCGCAAGCCUGAUGGAGCAACACCGCGUGAGUGAAGAAGGGUUUCGGCUCGUAAAGCUCUGUUGUUGGAGAAGAACGUGCGUGAGAGUAACUGUUCACGCAGUGACGGUAUCCAACCAGAAAGUCACGGCUAACUACGUGCCAGCAGCCGCGGUAAUACGUAGGUGGCAAGCGUUAUCCGGAUUUAUUGGGCGUAAAGCGAGCGCAGGCGGUUGCUUAGUCUGAUGUGAAAGCCUUCGGCUUAACCGAAGAAGUGCAUCGGAAACCGGGCGACUUGAGUGCAGAAGAGGACAGUGGAACUCCAUGUGUAGCGGUGGAAUGCGUAGAUAUAUGGAAGAACACCAGUGGCGAAGGCGGCUGUCUGGUCUGCAACUGACGCUGAGGCUCGAAAGCAUGGGUAGCGAACAGGAUUAGAUACCCUGGUAGUCCAUGCCGUAAACGAUGAGUGCUAGGUGUUGGAGGGUUUCCGCCCUUCAGUGCCGGAGCUAACGCAUUAAGCACUCCGCCUGGGGAGUACGACCGCAAGGUUGAAACUCAAAGGAAUUGACGGGGGCCCGCACAAGCGGUGGAGCAUGUGGUUUAAUUCGAAGCUACGCGAAGAACCUUACCAGGUCUUGACAUCUUGCGCUAACCUUAGAGAUAAGGCGUUCCCUUCGGGGACGCAAUGACAGGUGGUGCAUGGUCGUCGUCAGCUCGUGUCGUGAGAUGUUGGGUUAAGUCCCGCAACGAGCGCAACCCUUGUUACUAGUUGCCAGCAUUAAGUUGGGCACUCUAGUGAGACUGCCGGUGACAAACCGGAGGAAGGUGGGGACGACGUCAGAUCAUCAUGCCCCUUAUGACCUGGGCUACACACGUGCUACAAUGGACGGUACAACGAGUCGCAAGCUCGCGAGAGUAAGCUAAUCUCUUAAAGCCGUUCUCAGUUCGGACUGUAGGCUGCAACUCGCCUACACGAAGUCGGAAUCGCUAGUAAUCGCGGAUCAGCAUGCCGCGGUGAAUACGUUCCCGGGCCUUGUACACACCGCCCGUCACACCAUGGGAGUUUGAACGCCCAAAGUCGGUGGCCUAACCUUUAUGGAGGGAGCCGCCUAAGGCGGGACAGAUGACUGGGGUGAAGUC